CCCUGCAGAUGACUGGACUCCA
RNAcentral lists this microRNA (22 nucleotides) under Equus caballus (horse). RNAcentral's name for it is "eca-miR-9162". Lineage: Eukaryota; Metazoa; Chordata; Mammalia; Perissodactyla; Equidae. The record is from miRBase by way of RNAcentral.